This 253-nucleotide ribosomal RNA is filed under the name uncultured bacterium. RNAcentral's name for it is "partial 16S ribosomal RNA". It matches the Rfam family "Bacterial small subunit ribosomal RNA", at positions 524 to 776 of the family's 1533-position model. The record is from RNAcentral.
UACGUAGGGUGCGAGCGUUGUCCGGAAUUAUUGUGCGUAAAGAGCUCGUCGGCGGUGUGUCACGUCGGCCGUGAAAACCUGGGGCUUAACUCUGGGCGUGCGGUCGAUACGGGCAGACUAGAGUUCGGUAGGGGAGACUGGAAUUCCUGGUGUAGCGGUGAAAUGCGCAGAUAUCAGGAGGAACACCGGUGGCGAAGGCGGGUCUCUGGGCCGAUACUGACGCUGAGGAGCGAAAGCGUGGGGAGCGAACAGG